This 465-nucleotide ribosomal RNA is filed under the name uncultured bacterium. RNAcentral describes it as "partial 16S ribosomal RNA". It matches the Rfam family "Bacterial small subunit ribosomal RNA", at positions 28 to 507 of the family's 1533-position model. The record is from RNAcentral.
GACGAACGCUGGCGGCGUGCUUAACACAUGCAAGUCGUACGGUAAGGCCCUUUCGGGGGUACACGAGUGGCGAACGGGUGAGUAACACGUGAGUAACCUGCCCACAACUUUGGGAUAACGCUAGGAAACUGGAGCUAAUACUGUAUAUGUGCUCCUGCUGCAUGGUGGGGGUUGGAAAGCUCCUGCGGUUGUGGAUGGACUCCCGGCCUAUCAGCUUGUUGGUGGGGUAGUGGCCUACCAAGGCGGCGACGGGUAGCCGGCCUGAGAGGGUGACCGGCCACAUUGGGACUGGGAUACAGUCCAGACUCCGACGGGAGGCAGCAGUGGGGAAUAUUGCACGAAGGGCGCAAGCCGGAUGCAGCAACGGCGCGGGCGGGAUGACGGCCUUCGGGUUGUAAAACGCUUUCAGCAGGGACGGAGCUGUUUGUGACGGUACCUGCAGAAGAAGCACCGGCUAACUACGUG